RNAcentral lists this ribosomal RNA (419 nucleotides) under uncultured bacterium. RNAcentral describes it as "bacterial SSU rRNA". It matches the Rfam family "Bacterial small subunit ribosomal RNA", at positions 8 to 429 of the family's 1533-position model. The record is from RNAcentral.
AGAGUUUGAUCCUGGCUCAGAUUGAACGCUGGCGGCAGGCUUAACACAUGCAAGUCGAGCGGAUGAUGGGAGCUUGCUCCUGGAUUCAGCGGCGGACGGGUGAGUAAUGCCUAGGAAUCUGCCUGGUAGUGGGGGACAACGUUUCGAAAGGAACGCUAAUACCGCAUACGUCCUACGGGAGAAAGCAGGGGACCUUCGGGCCUUGCGCUACCAGAUGAGCCUAGGUCGGAUUAGCUAGUUGGUGGGGUAAAGGCUCACCAAGGCGACGAUCCGUAACUGGUCUGAGAGGAUGAUCAGUCACACUGGAACUGAGACACGGUCCAGACUCCUACGGGAGGCAGCAGUGGGGAAUAUUGGACAAUGGGCGAAAGCCUGAUCCAGCCAUGCCGCGUGUGUGAAGAAGGUCUUCGGAUUGUAAA